This 2901-nucleotide ribosomal RNA is filed under the name Escherichia coli. RNAcentral describes it as "23S ribosomal RNA". It matches the Rfam family "Bacterial large subunit ribosomal RNA". Lineage: Bacteria; Pseudomonadati; Pseudomonadota; Gammaproteobacteria; Enterobacterales; Enterobacteriaceae. The record is from RNAcentral.
UUAAGCGACUAAGCGUACACGGUGGAUGCCCUGGCAGUCAGAGGCGAUGAAGGACGUGCUAAUCUGCGAUAAGCGUCGGUAAGGUGAUAUGAACCGUUAUAACCGGCGAUUUCCGAAUGGGGAAACCCAGUGUGAUUCGUCACACUAUCAUUAACUGAAUCCAUAGGUUAAUGAGGCGAACCGGGGGAACUGAAACAUCUAAGUACCCCGAGGAAAAGAAAUCAACCGAGAUUCCCCCAGUAGCGGCGAGCGAACGGGGAGCAGCCCAGAGCCUGAAUCAGUGUGUGUGUUAGUGGAAGCGUCUGGAAAGGCGCGCGAUACAGGGUGACAGCCCCGUACACAAAAAUGCACAUGCUGUGAGCUCGAUGAGUAGGGCGGGACACGUGGUAUCCUGUCUGAAUAUGGGGGGACCAUCCUCCAAGGCUAAAUACUCCUGACUGACCGAUAGUGAACCAGUACCGUGAGGGAAAGGCGAAAAGAACCCCGGCGAGGGGAGUGAAAAAGAACCUGAAACCGUGUACGUACAAGCAGUGGGAGCACGCUUAGGCGUGUGACUGCGUACCUUUUGUAUAAUGGGUCAGCGACUUAUAUUCUGUAGCAAGGUUAACCGAAUAGGGGAGCCGAAGGGAAACCGAGUCUUAACUGGGCGUUAAGUUGCAGGGUAUAGACCCGAAACCCGGUGAUCUAGCCAUGGGCAGGUUGAAGGUUGGGUAACACUAACUGGAGGACCGAACCGACUAAUGUUGAAAAAUUAGCGGAUGACUUGUGGCUGGGGGUGAAAGGCCAAUCAAACCGGGAGAUAGCUGGUUCUCCCCGAAAGCUAUUUAGGUAGCGCCUCGUGAAUUCAUCUCCGGGGGUAGAGCACUGUUUCGGCAAGGGGGUCAUCCCGACUUACCAACCCGAUGCAAACUGCGAAUACCGGAGAAUGUUAUCACGGGAGACACACGGCGGGUGCUAACGUCCGUCGUGAAGAGGGAAACAACCCAGACCGCCAGCUAAGGUCCCAAAGUCAUGGUUAAGUGGGAAACGAUGUGGGAAGGCCCAGACAGCCAGGAUGUUGGCUUAGAAGCAGCCAUCAUUUAAAGAAAGCGUAAUAGCUCACUGGUCGAGUCGGCCUGCGCGGAAGAUGUAACGGGGCUAAACCAUGCACCGAAGCUGCGGCAGCGACGCUUAUGCGUUGUUGGGUAGGGGAGCGUUCUGUAAGCCUGCGAAGGUGUGCUGUGAGGCAUGCUGGAGGUAUCAGAAGUGCGAAUGCUGACAUAAGUAACGAUAAAGCGGGUGAAAAGCCCGCUCGCCGGAAGACCAAGGGUUCCUGUCCAACGUUAAUCGGGGCAGGGUGAGUCGACCCCUAAGGCGAGGCCGAAAGGCGUAGUCGAUGGGAAACAGGUUAAUAUUCCUGUACUUGGUGUUACUGCGAAGGGGGGACGGAGAAGGCUAUGUUGGCCGGGCGACGGUUGUCCCGGUUUAAGCGUGUAGGCUGGUUUUCCAGGCAAAUCCGGAAAAUCAAGGCUGAGGCGUGAUGACGAGGCACUACGGUGCUGAAGCAACAAAUGCCCUGCUUCCAGGAAAAGCCUCUAAGCAUCAGGUAACAUCAAAUCGUACCCCAAACCGACACAGGUGGUCAGGUAGAGAAUACCAAGGCGCUUGAGAGAACUCGGGUGAAGGAACUAGGCAAAAUGGUGCCGUAACUUCGGGAGAAGGCACGCUGAUAUGUAGGUGAAGUCCCUCGCGGAUGGAGCUGAAAUCAGUCGAAGAUACCAGCUGGCUGCAACUGUUUAUUAAAAACACAGCACUGUGCAAACACGAAAGUGGACGUAUACGGUGUGACGCCUGCCCGGUGCCGGAAGGUUAAUUGAUGGGGUCAGCGCAAGCGAAGCUCUUGAUCGAAGCCCCGGUAAACGGCGGCCGUAACUAUAACGGUCCUAAGGUAGCGAAAUUCCUUGUCGGGUAAGUUCCGACCUGCACGAAUGGCGUAAUGAUGGCCAGGCUGUCUCCACCCGAGACUCAGUGAAAUUGAACUCGCUGUGAAGAUGCAGUGUACCCGCGGCAAGACGGAAAGACCCCGUGAACCUUUACUAUAGCUUGACACUGAACAUUGAGCCUUGAUGUGUAGGAUAGGUGGGAGGCUUUGAAGUGUGGACGCCAGUCUGCAUGGAGCCGACCUUGAAAUACCACCCUUUAAUGUUUGAUGUUCUAACGUUGACCCGUGAUCCGGGUUGCGGACAGUGUCUGGUGGGUAGUUUGACUGGGGCGGUCUCCUCCUAAAGAGUAACGGAGGAGCACGAAGGUUGGCUAAUCCUGGUCGGACAUCAGGAGGUUAGUGCAAUGGCAUAAGCCAGCUUGACUGCGAGCGUGACGGCGCGAGCAGGUGCGAAAGCAGGUCAUAGUGAUCCGGUGGUUCUGAAUGGAAGGGCCAUCGCUCAACGGAUAAAAGGUACUCCGGGGAUAACAGGCUGAUACCGCCCAAGAGUUCAUAUCGACGGCGGUGUUUGGCACCUCGAUGUCGGCUCAUCACAUCCUGGGGCUGAAGUAGGUCCCAAGGGUAUGGCUGUUCGCCAUUUAAAGUGGUACGCGAGCUGGGUUUAGAACGUCGUGAGACAGUUCGGUCCCUAUCUGCCGUGGGCGCUGGAGAACUGAGGGGGGCUGCUCCUAGUACGAGAGGACCGGAGUGGACGCAUCACUGGUGUUCGGGUUGUCAUGCCAAUGGCACUGCCCGGUAGCUAAAUGCGGAAGAGAUAAGUGCUGAAAGCAUCUAAGCACGAAACUUGCCCCGAGAUGAGUUCUCCCUGACUCCUUGAGAGUCCUGAAGGAACGUUGAAGACGACGACGUUGAUAGGCCGGGUGUGUAAGCGCAGCGAUGCGUUGAGCUAACCGGUACUAAUGAACCGUGAGGCUUAACCU